AGGGGCCAGGCCUCAGGUCCCACAGGUCAGUUGCAAGGGCCUAGCACAGCUAGCCCCCUGAGAGGCCUCCCUACUUAGUGGUCAGGUGUUAGGAAGGUUUGGUGGGGCCACUUGAGGUGCCCUGGGGUUGGGGUGAAACCCCUCUGCAGCCUAGUCAGCCCAAGGGCAUUGUGAAAGUGACAGCUGCCAGAGGUCUGGGUUCCAGCCCCUGGCUGACAUUAAACUUUUCUGAAUUUCGGUUUUUCCCUGUAAAUUGGGGAAAAUUACUUGCCCCAGCUUCAACACUGCCUCCCCUCCACCCUUUUGCUGCUGCCUUAUCAGGCCCCAGCUGUAGGCAGGUCAGCCCACGCCCGGCGGCAGAGCCCAGAGAGGCUCGCUCAUCUCAGCCGCCAGAAGUGUCAUCCCAGGGAAGCAGGGCUGGGAGCAUCCCCGGGGCAGGCGGAGGUCGGAGGUGGUGAGGCCUUUCGGCGAAGCUGAGGCCUGGAACAACCCGGUGGGAAGCCACGGAGGGGGUCCCCUAGCGGAGGCUGGGCGCGGGCCGGUGCGCGUGCGCGGCUGGAGGCUCAGCGCGCGAGCGUGCGCGUGAUUUGGCCCUGAACGGACGCCGUAGCCGAGAGGUUGGGCGGAUGUUGUGAACCGGGUCGCGGCGGCCGAGGCUCGGGCCUCCAGGACCACUGGCUGCCCAUGAGAGACGAAGGAUGGCAUCCAAGGGGGCCGGCGUGUCUUUCUCCCGCAAGAGCUGUAGGCUGACCUCAGAUGCUGAGAAAUCCAGGGUCACAGGCAUUGUGCAGGAGAAGCUGCUGAAUGACUACCUGAACCGCAUCUUUCCUCUUCUGACCAUGCACCCCCAGCAGCCACCGGCAGUUACUCGGGAGGCUGAGGCAGGAGAAUCGCUUGAACCGGAGAGGCGGACGUUGCAGUGAGCCGAGGUCAAACCAGUGCACUCCAGCCUGGGCAACAGAGCGAGACUCCAUCUGAAAAAGAAACAAAAAGAAAAAAAAA
Molecule: long non-coding RNA, 1002 nt
Organism: Homo sapiens (human)
Lineage: Eukaryota; Metazoa; Chordata; Mammalia; Primates; Hominidae
Source: Ensembl